Molecule: long non-coding RNA, 2821 nt
Organism: Apis mellifera (honey bee)
Lineage: Eukaryota; Metazoa; Arthropoda; Insecta; Hymenoptera; Apidae
Exons: 4
Source: RefSeq, a predicted model, not a curated record
AAGAAAAUAAUCUUAAUUACUAGUUAUAUUUUAAAAAUAGUAUCUACUUAAUUAUUUAACGAGUUAUCAUAACGAUAAUAACAUGAUAAUGUAUACUUCUACGUAUAUUCCUGAACAUAACCAAUGCUAUCAAAAGCUCACGUUAUUUUGCAAAGUUCUUUGUUAUUAAAUAAGAACUCGUAAAUAUUUAACGACACUAUAAAAAUCAAUUGUGGCGCUCUCACACCUCUCGAAUUCGCAAGUUGGAUUAUAUCGUACAUGCUCGUGAAACGUUGGCACGCAUUGCAAGAUUAUUUUAAUCAUGGCGCCACAAUGAGAGCGUCAUUUCACAAGCAUGAUAUUUCUUUUUUUAGUUUGUGUUUUUCUAAUUUAAAAUUUUCUUGAAAAUUUAUAUAAACUUGACGGUUUUCACAUCAUAUAUAAAAAAUAAUAUUAUAAAUUUUUAGUGACAAGUGAUACAAGUAUUGCAAUACGUAUAAAUAUUUUUGAUAGUGGUGCAAAUCAACACAUGUGCUUUGAUUUGAUUGAAUUAACAAAAGAAUCUUAAAUCUGAAUUAAAUCUUUUAUAGACUACAUAUAUACAUAUGAAAAAUUUUAUAAUUUUUCAAAUAUUUUACAUAUAUUCAUAUUUAUUCAUACAAGAAUCAACCUAACCUAAACAAAAAAAAAAAGAAAAAGAAAAGAGAAGCAUUUACUAUCCAAACACAGGAAGAGGCCGAUAAACUGUACCAAGUAUUCAAACAAACCGGAAAGUAAACUAUUUCAUUGUUCUCCGAUCGUUCGAUAUUAAGUAUAAAUCACAAAUGAAAGCUAAAAUCGUACAGCAGCCAUGCGGAAGCUUCUAAUCGUUUGCUGUUCUGUAAUUAUUUGUACAAUUGCACGAUAACACAAUGUAAGGAUAAUGCAUGUCUGUCGUGUUAUCUCAACUUAUGACGUAUUUCUUGGUGCAUAUGUUAAUGUUAAUGAUAGAAUGACCGUGGUUGAUUAGACUGCAAGGCCUUGGUCGCGUUGAUCCCUCUUUCGAUAUAUAAACGUAUCUCACUUACUAGCCCCGUGUCGCCCUCUAUCGUUAUAUUCCUACAUGAAUGAUUAUGAAGCCCAGCAAUACUUUGCUGGAUCAACAUUUCGAUGCUUCCCGUUAAUGUGUGCUUCAUUAUAACGAUCUUUCGCUUCCUGCGACGUAAUAACAUUCAACGACACAGCAUGCGUCUUUAUGAAGUCAUUAAAAUAUAUCACCGAUGGGUAUGCUUCUCUUGAAUGAAUAUACGAGAUUGGGAUUUAAUGGAUACUUUAAUUAGAUUGUGAUUCAGUUACGUUGAAAUAUAAUUGAGAAGAUUGUUCGAACGUCUCAUUGAUAUCGAAGGAAUUUAAUUGAGAUUUUUAUUUAAUACGUAGAUUGAAAUAUAUGGAUUGUUGGAAAAGAAAUUACGUAUGUAAUUAUUGGAAUCAAUGAAGAUGGUGGAAGAAUGAAAACUUUGAAAAGGUAAAUCAAAACUGAACGAGCUAACCUAACCUUUUCUAUAUUCCUCGCUACGUGAAAGUCAUCCACUCACUUUAUACCUCCUCCUUGCAGUUAAAAUAUAAAAGAGGAUAUAAAAGAGUAAGUGGUAAUCAAGAAAGACUCAAAUUCAACUAAGUCCUUAAAACGUAUGAAUUUUCAUCAUAUUUAUUAACGUGCAAUGACCAACUGAUCUAUUGUUGUAAUCUAUCGACUGUAAGAAACGUCCCACUUUUACAUUCAAUUAAUAUGUAAUUAAUAUACAAAUCUUGAGGUCGUAUGUCAACAAACUAGUCAUUCCAUUGGAACGCGUCCAAAUAUAAAUCGAGCAAAGUUUCAAACGAUUAAGCAAGAAUAGUAGCCAUCAUUUCUUCGUUCAUUCCAUUGAAUGAAAUUGUGGGCCCGAUUAAAGGACUUGUCUCGAGGUCCCAGAUUCGAGCAUAACGCGGGCGCGAUCAUGCGUGGGACGGCUGCGCACACUCUUUCUACAUCUGCCCCUGAAUUAUCAGCUACAUUAAACAGAUAGGGCGAUGAAUCGUUGCUGUUGCUGAUAUUUCUGCCCCGCAACAGCAUUGACCUUCUUGAUUUAAUCGCGUGCUUUUUGCCAGACAUGAAGGCGAGGCCGUCAUGCUCUUAAGCUGGAUUUACACGUGCGUUAGUUUAUGUAUUGUGCAAAGCUGAAGAAAAAUUACAUCCGGAAUGGAACGGAGACAAGAAUACUUUGCCCAAUCUGGCUAAUAUGUAUAUUUACUUAGAUGAGUGAAUAUUUCAAAAAGAGAAGGAUUGACUAAUUUGAAUGAAUUGAUUUUUUAAACGGAUUAUUUAAUUAAUUGCUGAAAGAAAUUUAAUAUUUAAACAAUUUUUUAUCUAUUUUUCAAAGAUGCAACGUAAAUAUAACUUGUUUAAUGGACUUUGAUUUAAUAAGAAUAAAAAUAAAACAAAUUUGAUAAAAAUUUCAUAUAUUCGCAAUAUGUAUUUGCAAUAAAAUUGAUUUGUAAUACGAAUUGAUUGCAACAGUAGAUAUACUGUUAUUUAGCUAUAAGAAAUUCAUGAUAUUGCAAAUUUAAAUAUUACAAGAUUGGUCUUAAUAAUUACGAAAAAGUGAAUAAUGUUACAACACAUUGUUCAAGUUUAUAAAUGAAUGAUGACAUUCAGUUUUAUCUUUUCUAACACAAAUUGCUUAUCUAAUCUCAAGUAAACCAUAUGUGUAUGUUCUAUAAACUUUCCGUCAUUUCUAUGUAAAUUUAAUCAGAAUAACAAGGAAAUUUUUUUACAAUAAAGAUAAAAAUGAAUUUAUUCAAAGACUGGAUCAGUUUUAUUUUU